This 249-nucleotide ribosomal RNA is filed under the name uncultured bacterium. RNAcentral's name for it is "partial small subunit ribosomal RNA". It matches the Rfam family "Bacterial small subunit ribosomal RNA", at positions 26 to 286 of the family's 1533-position model. The record is from RNAcentral.
AGAAUCAACGCUGGCGGCGUGCCUAACACAUGCAAGUCGAACGAGAAAGGGGUAGGCAAUACCCUGAGUAAAGUGGCGCACGGGUGAGUAACACGUGACUAACCUACCCUUGAGUGGGGGAUAACUGAGGGAAACCUUAGCUAAUACCGCAUAAUACCCACGGGUCAAAGGAGCAAUUCGCUCGAGGAGGGGGUCGCGGCCGAUUAGUUAGUUGGCGGGGUAAUGGCCCACCAAGACGAUGAUCGGUAU